Paramuricea clavata is the source of this 633-nucleotide non-coding RNA. Lineage: Eukaryota; Metazoa; Cnidaria; Anthozoa; Malacalcyonacea; Plexauridae. The record is from the annotation of a GenBank genome assembly.
GCGAAAAAAGAACUGAAACAAUGUUGGACGUCAGGUUCAAUUAAACUGCUCGUUCACCUGACAACGUGUUAAAAAGCAUUGAACCUAGAACUAUAGGAUUUUAUUUAUACGGUCUAAUAAUAUAGUGUUAAAAUGAUUUUUUUAUAUAUGUAUAUAAUUUGUUGUAUACUUUAUGCAAUUUAUAUUCCAUACCGGCAUACGUGUUUUUAAAUAGAAUGUAAAUAUAUGUUGUUAGUUUUUUGCUUCCUUUGCACGAGCCGACGAGCGGUAUGAUGUAAAAGCGCUGUGUGGACAAAAACGUGAGGAUGUUUGAAAAUCACGACGUCCCCUUGAAUACAUUUCUCCCAUUUCCCCACGCGUCGAGACAUGGUGACGGGAAAAUCCGAUAUUUCUUGAUGAAGUGAGCUGACAUAAUAGACAGGACAAGGACGUGGAUGUCAAAGACGACGUGAAAAUGGGUGGCAUAUCCAUAUAUGGGCACAACACGCCAUUUUCACGUCGUCUUUGACAUCCGCGCUCUAAAUCUGUCUAAUCUGAUAAUGCAGACAGUUGAGUUGUGAGAGCAUUCAAAACUACUUUCGAAUAUACACGUUUGCUAUAUAGAUUAUUAUAUACAUAAGGCCACUCCAAAUU